AUAAUAAACAAUAGUCAUCUAAUUAUCAGAAAAUAGCAAUGUACAGAAAAUCCAACUUCAAAAAUCUCCUAGUGUAGUGCGUCGCACCUCAGCUGUUUUGGAUAUCAACUUGUUCAAAUCUAGUAGUUUUAACAGUAAUUUGGUUUAUUGGAAAAAAAUAAAUUACCAAAAAGAAAGAAGUAGAGAAUUCUCAGAAGGCAGAUUCUGUUACAAAGAUUUGUUGCAGGAAACAAUUGAAUUUAAUCUUUUAAAGCAUAGAUAACAACUGAUGCUUGAAGAUCGCGGUCAACCUUGAAGUGAGCAUGGAAAAACCUCCUUAUCUCUCUGAAAGAAUGUGCAAUCAAGAAAUCCUUCAACAGUCUCUCCUCAGAUUCAAAUAACACAAUGUGACUCGGCAGAGACCAGUUUUUUGCCAAUUCUGAUGCAAAACCAACAGGAUCGAACAUGAAACGAUCUGACUCAUCAGGGAUUUCUUUCUCUUCACUGGAGGAUGAGAUAUCAAGCCAAAAUGAAAUUUUUGAAUAACAAAAUUUUCCUGAAGUUUUUCUU
This 549-nucleotide unclassified non-coding RNA is filed under the name Hevea brasiliensis (rubber tree). Lineage: Eukaryota; Viridiplantae; Streptophyta; Magnoliopsida; Malpighiales; Euphorbiaceae. The record is from RNAcentral.